GAUGAACGCUGGCGGCGUGCCUAAUACAUGCAAGUCGAGCGAACAGAUGAGGAGCUUGCUCCUCUGACGUUAGCGGCGGACGGGUGAGUAACACGUGGAUAACCUACCUAUAAGACUGGGAUAACUUCGGGAAACCGGAGCUAAUACCGGAUAAUAUAUUGAACCGCAUGGUUCAAUAGUGAAAGACGGUUUUGCUGUCACUUAUAGAUGGAUCCGCGCCGCAUUAGCUAGUUGGUAAGGUAACGGCUUACCAAGGCGACGAUGCGUAGCCGACCUGAGAGGGUGAUCGGCCACACUGGAACUGAGGCACGGUCCAGACUCCUACGGGAGGCAGCAGUAGGGAAUCUUCCGCAAUGGGCGAAAGCCUGACGGAGCAACGCCGCGUGAGUGAUGAAGGUCUUCGGAUCGUAAAACUCUGUUAUUAGGGAAGAACAAAUGUGUAAGUAACUAUGCACGUCUUGACGGUACCUAAUCAGAAAGCCACGGCUAACUACGUG
RNAcentral lists this ribosomal RNA (497 nucleotides) under uncultured bacterium. Its description in RNAcentral is "partial 16S ribosomal RNA". It matches the Rfam family "Bacterial small subunit ribosomal RNA", at positions 28 to 507 of the family's 1533-position model. The record is from RNAcentral.